UCCCGAGGGUGCGAGCGUUAAUCGGAAUUACUGGGCGUAAAGCGUGCGUAGACGGUUAUUUAAGUCAGAUGUGAAAGCCCCGGGCUCAACCUGGGAAUUGCAUUUGAGACUGAAUAGCUAGGGUGCGGUAGAGGGAAGCGGAAGUUCCGGUGUAGCGGUGAAAUGCGUAGAUAUCGGAAGGAACAUCAGUGGCGAAAGCGGCUUCCUGGACCAGCACCGACGUUCAGGCACGAAAGCGUGGGGAGCAAACAGG
This 253-nucleotide ribosomal RNA is filed under the name uncultured bacterium. RNAcentral describes it as "partial 16S ribosomal RNA". It matches the Rfam family "Bacterial small subunit ribosomal RNA", at positions 524 to 776 of the family's 1533-position model. The record is from RNAcentral.